AUUGAACGCUGGCGGCAUGCUUUACACAUGCAAGUCGAACGGCAGCGCGGUCUUCGGCCUGGCGGCUCGUGUCGAACGGGUGAGUAAUGCAUCGGAACGUGCCCAGUAGUGGUGGAUAGCCCGGCGAAAGACGGAGUAAUACCGCAUACGACCUGAUGGUGAAGGCGGGGGAGGGAAAGACCUCUCGCUCUUGGGGCGACCGAUGUGGGAUUAGCUAGUUUGUGGGGUAAAGGCUUACCAAGGCGACCAUCCGUAGAUGGUCUGAGAGGACGAGCAGCCACACUGGGGCUGGACCACGGCCAAGGCGACUACGGGAGGCCGCAGUCGGGUAUGGUGGGCAACAGGGGCAACCCUGGUCCAGCCAUGCCGCGUGUGGGACGAAGGCCUUCCGGUUGGAAAGCGCUUUUGCGCGGGAAGAACCCCUCUGGGCUAAUACGAAGGGGGGGUGACGGUAACGGAAGAAUAAGCACCGGCUAACUACGUG
Molecule: ribosomal RNA, 484 nt
Filed under: uncultured bacterium
Lineage: Bacteria
Description: partial 16S ribosomal RNA
Rfam family: Bacterial small subunit ribosomal RNA
Source: RNAcentral